Molecule: ribosomal RNA, 510 nt
Filed under: Trichonectes otini
Lineage: Eukaryota; Metazoa; Arthropoda; Insecta; Coleoptera; Dytiscidae
Description: partial 16S ribosomal RNA
Rfam family: Bacterial large subunit ribosomal RNA
Source: RNAcentral
GUCCUUUUGAAUAAUAUUAUUUAAGGUCUAACCUGCCCACUGAAUUGAAUUAAAUGGCCGCAGUAAAUUGACUGUGCAAAGGUAGCAUAAUCAAUAGUUUUUUAAUUAAAAGCUUGUAUGAAUGGUUGGACGAGAUAAAAGCUGUCUCUAAAUAAUAUAAAGAAAUUAAUUUUUAAGUUAAAAAGCUUAAAUAAUAUUAAAAGACGAGAAGACCCUAUAGAUCUUUAUAAUAAUUUUUAUAAUUUUAUUAAAGAUUAAUUUGUUUAUUAUAAAUUUUAUUAUUUUAUUGGGGUAAUAUAAAGAUUAAAAAAAUUCUUUAAUUUUAGAACAUUAAUUAAUGAUUUGUUGAUCCUUUAAUAAAGAUUAUAAGAUUAAGUUACCUUAGGGAUAACAGCGUAAUUUUUUUAGAGAGUUCUUAUCGAUAAAAAAGUUUGCGACCUCGAUGUUGGAUUAAAAAUUAUUUUAGGUGUAGUAGUUUAAAAUUUUGGUCUGUUCGACCAUUAAAUUUUU